RNAcentral lists this ribosomal RNA (460 nucleotides) under uncultured bacterium. RNAcentral describes it as "partial 16S ribosomal RNA". It matches the Rfam family "Bacterial small subunit ribosomal RNA", at positions 338 to 795 of the family's 1533-position model. The record is from RNAcentral.
CCUACGGGUGACAGCAGUGAGGAAUAUUGGUCAAUGGACGCAAGUCUGAACCAGCCAUGCCGCGUGCAGGAAGACGGCCCUAUGAGUUGUAAACUGCUUUUGUACGAGGGUAAACGCAGAUACGCGUAUCUGUCUGAAUGUAUCGUACGAAUAAGGAUCGGCUAACCCCGUGCCAGCAGCCGCGGUACUACGGAGGAUUCAAGCGUUAUCCGGAUUUAUUGGGUUUAAAGGGUGCGUAGGCGGUCGGAUAAGUUAGAGGUGAAAUCCCGAGGCUAAACUUCGGAAUUGCCGCUGAUACUGUUCGGCUAGAGAGUAGUUGCGGUAGGCGGAAUGUAUGGUGUAGCGGUGAAAUGCUUAGAGAUCAUACAGAACACCGAUUGCGAAGGCAGCCUACCAAGCUACUUCUGACGUUGAGGCGCGAAAGCGUGGGGAGCAAACAGGAUUAGAUACCCUAGUAGUC